CAGGAAUGUUUGCCUCUGGGUACAUGAGCAUAAGUGGAAUCCAAGCACCAUGGUCAAGUCCGCGAAACUUGUCUUCUUUAACCUUGCCAAAGCCAGACUUUUGUAAUAGUACUUUCACUCUCUGCGCCAAAUCAGGAGCACCAGGUGCAGGAUAUUUCAACUGGUACAUGGGCUUGGGGAAGCCAUAGAAGUCAUGAAUAGUCUCGUUCUUCCCUGCAACAACGUUGACCGUCGGCUCGGAGGUGUCCCAAUGUCCAGACACGACAAGGAUUCCUGUGGGCACGACGCCUGGAAGCACCUUCUCCUUCCACGACUUCAAGAAGUGCCUCGCCGGCAUCUUCUCGUCGACCGAGAGCGUCGGCGCUCCAUGAGAGAUGAAGAAGGCAUCCAUCGGAGAGGUGAUGAGAAGGGAG
RNAcentral lists this unclassified non-coding RNA (413 nucleotides) under Hevea brasiliensis (rubber tree). The record is from RNAcentral. Lineage: Eukaryota; Viridiplantae; Streptophyta; Magnoliopsida; Malpighiales; Euphorbiaceae.